GACGAACGCUGGCGGCGUGCCUAAUGCAUGCAAGUAGAACGCUGAAGAGAGGAGCUUGCUCUUCUUGGAUGAGUUGCGAACGGGUGAGUAACGCGUAGGUAACCUGCCUGGUAGCGGGGGAUAACUAUUGGAAACGAUAGCUAAUACCGCAUAAAAUGGAUUAUCGCAUGAUAAUCCAUUGAAAGGUGCAAAUGCAUCACUACCAGAUGGACCUGCGUUGUAUUAGCUAGUUGGUGGGGUAACGGCUCACCAAGGCGACGAUACAUAGCCGACCUGAGAGGGUGAUCGGCCACACUGGGACUGAGACACGGCCCAGACUCCUACGGGAGGCAGCAGUAGGGAAUCUUCGGCAAUGGACGGAAGUCUGACCGAGCAACGCCGCGUGAGUGAAGAAGGUUUUCGGAUCGUAAAGCUCUGUUGUAAGAGAAGAACGAGUGUGAGAGUGGAAAGUUCACACUGUGACGGUAUCUUACCAGAAAGGGACGGCUAACUACGUG
This 497-nucleotide ribosomal RNA is filed under the name uncultured bacterium. Its description in RNAcentral is "partial 16S ribosomal RNA". It matches the Rfam family "Bacterial small subunit ribosomal RNA", at positions 28 to 507 of the family's 1533-position model. The record is from RNAcentral.